UCUCCGUUGGUGAACCAGCGGAGGGAUCAUUACAGAGUUUCAAAACUCCCAAACCAUUUUUAACGGUACCUCUCCCGUUGCUUCGGCGGGCGGCCCAGGCCCCCCGCCCGCCCGCCCCCGGCCCCCCCUGGGGCGCCGCCGGAAGGAAACAAAACCCUUGAACUGCAUGGCCCCUCUCGGUCUUCUGUAAUUAUUAACUCAAAACUUUCAACAACGGAUCGCUUCGUUCUUGAAUCGAAGAAUAACGCAGCAGAUCGGUAGGGUACACGUUCGAACCAC
RNAcentral lists this unclassified non-coding RNA (279 nucleotides) under plant metagenome. Its description in RNAcentral is "partial contains small subunit ribosomal RNA, internal transcribed spacer 1, and 5.8S ribosomal RNA". The record is from RNAcentral.